AGUGAACGCUGGCGGUAGGCCUAACACAUGCAAGUCGAACGGCAGCACAGUAAGAGCUUGCUCUUACGGGUGGCGAGUGGCGGACGGGUGAGGAAUACAUCGGAAUCUACUUUUUCGUGGGGGAUAACGUAGGGAAACUUACGCUAAUACCGCAUACGACCUACGGGUGAAAGCAGGGGAUCUUCGGACCUUGCGCGAUUGAAUGAGCCGAUGUCGGAUUAGCUAGUUGGCGGGGUAAAGGCCCACCAAGGCGACGAUCCGUAGCUGGUCUGAGAGGAUGAACAGCCACACUGGGACUGAGACACGGUCCAGACUCCGACGGGAGGCAGCAGUGGGGAAGAUUGGACGAUGGGCGCAAGACUGAUCCAGCCAUACCGCGUGGGUGAAGAAGGCCUGCGGGUUGUAAAGCCCUUUUGUUGGGAAAGAAAAGCAGCAGGUUAAUACCCCGCUGUUCUGACGGUACCCAAAGAAUAAGCACCGGCUAACUUCGUG
RNAcentral lists this ribosomal RNA (492 nucleotides) under uncultured bacterium. Its description in RNAcentral is "partial 16S ribosomal RNA". It matches the Rfam family "Bacterial small subunit ribosomal RNA", at positions 29 to 507 of the family's 1533-position model. The record is from RNAcentral.